RNAcentral lists this ribosomal RNA (42 nucleotides) under Gongora sp. SRR-2011. Its description in RNAcentral is "partial 18S ribosomal RNA". Lineage: Eukaryota; Viridiplantae; Streptophyta; Magnoliopsida; Asparagales; Orchidaceae. The record is from RNAcentral.
CCUGGNAAAGUUUCCGUAGGUGAACCUGAGGACGGAUCAUAG